GUCUAUGGCCAUACCACCCUGAAAGCACCAGAUCCCGUCUGAUCUCGGAAGCUAAGCAGGGUCAGGCCUGUUAGUACUUGGAUGGGAGACCUAUUUAAUUCUUAUUGCAAGCAACAUUGCUA
Molecule: non-coding RNA, 122 nt
Organism: Mesocricetus auratus (golden hamster)
Lineage: Eukaryota; Metazoa; Chordata; Mammalia; Rodentia; Cricetidae
Source: Rfam